UGGGGAAUAUUGGACAAUGGGCGCAAGCCUGAUCCAGCAAUGCCGCGUGAGUGAUGAAGGCCUUAGGGUUGUAAAGCUCUUUCGCACGCGACGAUGAUGACGGUAGCGUGAGAAGAAGCCCCGGCUAACUUCGUGCCAGCAGCCGCGGUAAUACGAAGGGGGCUAGCGUUGUUCGGAAUUACUGGGCGUAAAGGGCGCGUAGGCGGCCUGUUUAGUCAGAAGUGAAAGCCCCGGGCUCAACCUGGGAAUAGCUUUUGAUACUGGCAGGCUUGAGUUCCGGAGAGGAUGGUGGAAUUCCCAGUGUAGAGGUGAAAUUCGUAGAUAUUGGGAAGAACACCGGUGGCGAAGGCGGCCAUCUGGACGGACACUGACGCUGAGGCGCAGAAAG
Molecule: ribosomal RNA, 388 nt
Filed under: uncultured bacterium
Lineage: Bacteria
Description: partial 16S ribosomal RNA
Rfam family: Bacterial small subunit ribosomal RNA
Source: RNAcentral